This 316-nucleotide long non-coding RNA is filed under the name Spirodela polyrhiza (greater duckweed). Its description in RNAcentral is "long non-coding RNA (SPOL_LNC000386)". Lineage: Eukaryota; Viridiplantae; Streptophyta; Magnoliopsida; Alismatales; Araceae. The record is from RNAcentral.
UUCGGUCCAAUGAAUUCAAGGCCUCCGAAAAUAUCAGAGCUAAAGGUAACUCCGAGUCUUUCUCAUCACUGCAGAUAUUUUAAUCGAUUUUGAUCUCGGCCAGCUGACCCAGCUGGCCAGAUCAUCCGAGGGCCGAUCAGAUGCAGUUAGUUCAUCGAGCUCGGCCUGCCGUGGUUGAGCUGAAGGAGGCGAAGGUUCAGCCGUCUUCUAAGAGUAUCAAGAACUUGAGGUCGGCGAUAAUGGAGGACUCCGAUCAAUCUCCGAGACGGAGGCGGCGAGCUUCGUCCGCCGGAAGGGGGUCCUCGGAGUUAUUAGC